GCUCUAGUAGCUCAGUGGUAGAGCGAUCGACUGUUAAUCGAUUGGUCGUAGGUUCAAGUCCUACCUGGAGCG
This is a transfer RNA of 72 nucleotides. It matches the Rfam family "tRNA". From Rfam's summary of the family: Transfer RNA (tRNA) molecules are approximately 80 nucleotides in length. Their secondary structure includes four short double-helical elements and three loops (D, anti-codon, and T loops). Further hydrogen bonds mediate the characteristic L-shaped molecular structure. tRNAs have two regions of fundamental functional importance: the anti-codon, which is responsible for specific mRNA codon recognition, and the 3' end, to which the tRNAs corresponding amino acid is attached (by aminoacyl-tRNA synthetases). tRNAs cope with the degeneracy of the genetic code in two manners: having more than one tRNA (with a specific anti-codon) for a particular amino acid; and 'wobble' base-pairing, i.e. permitting non-standard base-pairing at the 3rd anti-codon position.